UGAAGCCCAGCUUGCUGGGUGGAUCAGUGGCGAACGGGUGAGUAACACGUGAGCAACCUGCCCUCCACUUCGGGAUAAGCCUUGGAAACGGGGUCUAAUACCGGAUAUGAGCACUCAUCGCAUGGUGGGUGUUGGAAAGUUUUUCGGUGGGGGAUGGGCUCGCGGCCUAUCAGCUUGUUGGUGGGGUGAUGGCCUACCAAGGCGUCGACGGGUAGCCGGCCUGAGAGGGCGACCGGCCACACUGGGACUGAGACACGGCCCAGACUCCUACGGGAGGCAGCAGUGGGGAAUAUUGCACAAUGGGCGCAAGCCUGAUGCAGCGACGCCGCGUGAGGGAUGACGGCCUUCGGGUUGUAAACCUCUUUCAGCAGGGAAGAAGCGCAAGUGACGGUACCUGCAGAAGAAGCGCCGGCUAACUACGUGCCAGCAGCCGCGGUAAUACGUAGGGCGCAAGCGUUGUCCGGAAUUAUUGGGCGUAAAGAGCUCGUAGGCGGUCUGUCGCGUCUGGUGUGAAAUCCCGAGGCUCAACCUCGGGCUUGCAUCGGGUACGGGCAGACUAGAGUGCGGUAGGGGAGACUGGAAUUCCUGGUGUAGCGGUGGAAUGCGCAGAUAUCAGGAGGAACACCGAUGGCGAAGGCAGGUCUCUGGGCCGCAACUGACGCUGAGGAGCGAAAGCAUGGGGAGCGAACAGGAUUAGAUACCCUGGUAGUCCAUGCCGUAAACGUUGGGCACUAGGUGUGGGGCUCAUU
Molecule: ribosomal RNA, 749 nt
Filed under: Xylanimonas sp.
Lineage: Bacteria; Bacillati; Actinomycetota; Actinomycetes; Micrococcales; Promicromonosporaceae
Description: bacterial SSU rRNA
Rfam family: Bacterial small subunit ribosomal RNA
Source: RNAcentral